Molecule: ribosomal RNA, 414 nt
Filed under: uncultured bacterium
Lineage: Bacteria
Description: bacterial SSU rRNA
Rfam family: Bacterial small subunit ribosomal RNA
Source: RNAcentral
UGGGGAAUAUUGGACAAUGGGCGAAAGCCUGAUCCAGCAACGCCGCGAGAGGGAUGACGGCCUUCGGGUUGUAAACCUCUUCCAGUACCGACGAAGCGCCCUGUCGGGUGGUGACGGUAGGUACAGAAGAAGGACCGGCCACCUACGUGCCAGCAGCCGCGGUAAUACGUAGGGUCCGAGCGUUGUCCGGAAUUAUUGGGCGUAAAGGGCUCGUAGGCGGUUUGUCGCGUCGGGAGUGAAAUCUUACAGCUUAACUGUGAACUUGCUUUCGAUACGGGCAGACUUGAGGCAUUCAGGGGAGAACGGAAUUCCUGGUGUAGCGGUGAAAUGCGCAGAUAUCAGGAGGAACACCGGUGGCGAAGGCGGUUCUCUGGGAAUGUUCUGACGCUGAGGAGCGAAAGUGUGGGGAGCGAA